GGUUAAGCGACUAAGCGUACACGGUGGAUGCCCUGGCAGUCAGAGGCGAUGAAGGACGUGCUAAUCUGCGAUAAGCGUCGGUGAGGUGAUAUGAACCGUUAUAACCGGCGAUUUCCGAAUGGGGAAACCCAGUGUGUUUCGACACACUAUCAUUAACUGAAUCCAUAGGUUAAUGAGGCGAACCGGGGGAACUGAAACAUCUAAGUACCCCGAGGAAAAGAAAUCAACCGAGAUUCCCCCAGUAGCGGCGAGCGAACGGGGAGGAGCCCAGAGCCUGAAUCAGUGUGUGUGUUAGUGGAAGCGUCUGGAAAGGCGCGCGAUACAGGGUGACAGCCCCGUACACAAAAAUGCACAUAUUGUGAGCUCGAUGAGUAGGGCGGGACACGUGGUAUCCUGUCUGAAUAUGGGGGGACCAUCCUCCAAGGCUAAAUACUCCUGACUGACCGAUAGUGAACCAGUACCGUGAGGGAAAGGCGAAAAGAACCCCGGCGAGGGGAGUGAAAAAGAACCUGAAACCGUGUACGUACAAGCAGUGGGAGCCUCUUAAUGGGGUGACUGCGUACCUUUUGUAUAAUGGGUCAGCGACUUAUAUUCUGUAGCAAGGUUAACCGAAUAGGGGAGCCGAAGGGAAACCGAGUCUUAACUGGGCGUUAAGUUGCAGGGUAUAGACCCGAAACCCGGUGAUCUAGCCAUGGGCAGGUUGAAGGUUGGGUAACACUAACUGGAGGACCGAACCGACUAAUGUUGAAAAAUUAGCGGAUGACUUGUGGCUGGGGGUGAAAGGCCAAUCAAACCGGGAGAUAGCUGGUUCUCCCCGAAAGCUAUUUAGGUAGCGCCUCGUGAAUUCAUCUCCGGGGGUAGAGCACUGUUUCGGCAAGGGGGUCAUCCCGACUUACCAACCCGAUGCAAACUGCGAAUACCGGAGAAUGUUAUCACGGGAGACACACGGCGGGUGCUAACGUCCGUCGUGAAGAGGGAAACAACCCAGACCGCCAGCUAAGGUCCCAAAGUCAUGGUUAAGUGGGAAACGAUGUGGGAAGGCCCAGACAGCC
RNAcentral lists this ribosomal RNA (1052 nucleotides) under Escherichia coli. RNAcentral's name for it is "partial 23S ribosomal RNA". It matches the Rfam family "Bacterial large subunit ribosomal RNA", at positions 1 to 1094 of the family's 2925-position model. Lineage: Bacteria; Pseudomonadati; Pseudomonadota; Gammaproteobacteria; Enterobacterales; Enterobacteriaceae. The record is from RNAcentral.